GAUGAAGGUCCAGAGAUAUUUGAAUCAGAAACUUUCUUCUCUUCCUCCCUCAUCCUUUGCCCAUAAGCUUCGUAAUCAAAACCAGCUGAGCUUUUUCCCCCAAAUUCAGAAUCCAGUUUAUCCAUAUCAAAUAAUUCUUCCAUUGUCUUUUGGCUCUCUAGGUCAUUAGAAUAGAUGAACUUCACUUUCUUGUAUGUCUUGGGCUCAAUGAAUGGUUUCACCAUCGUCCAGAAGGACUCAAAGACUUUGGGGGGAUUGUAGAGGAUUGCAAGGCCCAGUCGCUCAGGAUAAUGAUUCUGCAAUAUUUUAGCUGUUUCUCGAGCUGCCUUCACUGAUAUGCUACCCAUUGUCCACCGUUGAAAAUCAAUUAACCACACCAUUUGCUCUUGAUCUGGAUUCAUAGUCAUUAUGGCAUUUUCCAUACAAUAAACCAAGUGCUUGAUCUGUCCUCCUAAUGCAGUUGUAUUCUGAAAACCAGGUCUCAUGACAAGAACAGUCCUUCCCUUCUUGUCAGAAUAAUUAGCUUUGUAGACUUUUCCAGUUUGAGCUUCAUGAGUAACAUCUUCCCAUCGGAUCUUCUCAGGCUUGAAUUCCAACCUCCACUUCAACGUUUCUUUCAACAUUUUGGCUGCCUUCUUUGUAUUCCAAUUUC
RNAcentral lists this unclassified non-coding RNA (652 nucleotides) under Hevea brasiliensis (rubber tree). Lineage: Eukaryota; Viridiplantae; Streptophyta; Magnoliopsida; Malpighiales; Euphorbiaceae. The record is from RNAcentral.